Molecule: ribosomal RNA, 498 nt
Filed under: uncultured bacterium
Lineage: Bacteria
Description: bacterial SSU rRNA
Rfam family: Bacterial small subunit ribosomal RNA
Source: RNAcentral
GAUGAACGCUGGCGGCGUGCUUAACACAUGCAAGUCGAACGAAGCAAUCAUACAGAAGUUUUCGGAUGGAAGAAUGAUUGACUGAGUGGCGGACGGGUGAGUAACGCGUGGAUAACCUACCUCAUACAGGGGGAUAACAACCAGAAAUGGUUGCUAAUACCGCAUAAGCGCACAGGACCGCAUGGUCUGGUGUGAAAAACUCCGGUGGUAUGAGAUGGAUCCGCGUCUGAUUAGCUAGUUGGUAAGGUAAGAGCUUACCAAGGCGACGAUCAGUAGCCGACCUGAGAGGGUGACCGGCCACAUUGGGACUGAGACACGGCCCAAACUCCUACGGGAGGCAGCAGUGGGGAAUAUUGCACAAUGGGGGAAACCCUGAUGCAGCGACGCCGCGUGAAGGAAGAAGUAUUUCGGUAUGUAAACUUCUAUCAGCAGGGAAGAAAAUGACGGUACCUGACUAAGAAGCCCCGGCUAAUUACGUGCCAGCCGCCGCGGUAAAAC